AAAGUUGUUCGUGCCCAGUGGGACCAACAAGAUUAAAUGUAAAUUUGUAUGUGCAUGAAAUUUUCUGUUACUGAUUUUUUUUUGUUAAAAUCCCUUGAAAUUGUAGUUUUAUGUUACUCCAUCCCUCAUAAAAUUGUACACCGUAUAUGUGUAAAAUCCACGUAUGUAUAUAGAUUGUGAUGGAAUAGGGAGCGAAAAAUAAGCGGUAGUUAUUAGCUUUUCUUUAUAGUUAGUAAAGAAUUGUUCGAUUUUUAUAAAAAAAAGAAAAAAAUCCUAGUUUAGUAAUAAUCGUUCUUGAAUUUGAAGAUAAAUCUUCGUCCCAAGUCUUCCGACGCAACGGGUAAAGUUGCCAUCCGCACAGAACUAAAGUUGACACUCUUACAGAUUAAAGUUGUCACCUUCACAGAACUAAAGUUGCCAUCCCGCGGAAUUUAACGUUUGCUCCCUAGCGUUCUGGCGCGGCGGGGUAAAGUUGCCACCCGUACAGAACUAAAGUUGCCAGUCUCACAGACAAAAGUUGCCACGUCUGCAGAACUAAAGUUACCAUGCCACUGAACUGAAGUUGUCACCCCACAAGAUACGUGGCGCGAUCUCAGGGACUGUCUUCUCAAUCGGAUGGUCAACAGAUCGUUCGCUCCGAGAGGCUAAAGAGCAAACGUUCGUUCAAUAUAAAUUCUGAUAUAGAUUCGCCU
This 692-nucleotide long non-coding RNA is filed under the name Brachypodium distachyon (stiff brome). RNAcentral's name for it is "long non-coding RNA (BDIS_LNC001922)". Lineage: Eukaryota; Viridiplantae; Streptophyta; Magnoliopsida; Poales; Poaceae. The record is from RNAcentral.